UUCAUGGAGAGUUUGAUCCUGGCUCAGGACGAACGCUGGCGGCGUGCCUAAUACAUGCAAGUCGAGCGAAUCUUGAGGUGCUUGCACCUCUUGGUUAGCGGCGGAUGGGUGAGUAACACGUGGGCAACCUGCCUGUAAGACUGGGAUAACAUCGGGAAACCGAUGCUAAUACCGGAUAAUCCUUUUCCUCUCAUGAGGGAAAGCUGAAAGUCGGCUUCUCGCUGACACUUACAGAUGGGCCCGCGGCGCAUUAGCUAGUUGGUGAGGUAACGGCUCACCAAGGCGACGAUGCGUAGCCGACCUGAGAGGGUGAUCGGCCACACUGGGACUGAGACACGGCCCAGACUCCUACGGGAGGCAGCAGUAGGGAAUCUUCCGCAAUGGACGAAAGUCUGACGGAGCAA
This 404-nucleotide non-coding RNA is filed under the name Bacillus sp. MRMR6. RNAcentral's name for it is "Bacterial small subunit ribosomal RNA". It matches the Rfam family "Bacterial small subunit ribosomal RNA", at positions 1 to 394 of the family's 1533-position model. Lineage: Bacteria; Bacillati; Bacillota; Bacilli; Caryophanales; Bacillaceae. The record is from Rfam by way of RNAcentral.